GCUAUCAUGCAAGUCGAGCGACUGAUUAGAAGCUUGCUUCUAUGACGUUAGCGGCGGACGGGUGAGUAACACGUGGGCAACCUGCCUGUAAGACUGGGAUAACUUCGGGAAACCGAAGCUAAUACCGGAUAGGAUCUUCUCCUUCAUGGGAGAUGAUUGAAAGAUGGUUUCGGCUAUCACUUACAGAUGGGCCCGCGGUGCAUUAGCUAGUUGGUGAGGUAACGGCUCACCAAGGCAACGAUGCAUAGCCGACCUGAGAGGGUGAUCGGCCACACUGGGACUGAGACACGGCCCAGACUCCUACGGGAGGCAGCAGUAGGGAAUCUUCCGCAAUGGACGAAAGUCUGACGGAGCAACGCCGCGUGAGUGAUGAAGGCUUUCGGGUCGUAAAACUCUGUUGUUAGG
This 405-nucleotide ribosomal RNA is filed under the name Priestia megaterium. RNAcentral's name for it is "bacterial SSU rRNA". It matches the Rfam family "Bacterial small subunit ribosomal RNA", at positions 46 to 443 of the family's 1533-position model. Lineage: Bacteria; Bacillati; Bacillota; Bacilli; Caryophanales; Bacillaceae. The record is from RNAcentral.